UGCGCAGGCGGUUAUAUAAGACAGAUGUGAAAUCCCCGGGCUCAACCUGGGAACUGCAUUUGUGACUGUAUAGCUAGAGUACGGCAGAGGGGGAUGGAAUUCCGCGUGUAGCAGUGAAAUGCGUAGAUAUGCGGAGGAACACCGAUGGCGAAGGCAAUCCCCUGGGCCUGUACUGACGCUCAUGCACGAAAGCGUGGGGAGCAAACA
RNAcentral lists this ribosomal RNA (207 nucleotides) under uncultured bacterium. RNAcentral's name for it is "partial 16S ribosomal RNA". It matches the Rfam family "Bacterial small subunit ribosomal RNA", at positions 568 to 774 of the family's 1533-position model. RNAcentral also lists the same sequence under 1 other name. The record is from RNAcentral.